This 253-nucleotide ribosomal RNA is filed under the name uncultured bacterium. RNAcentral describes it as "partial 16S ribosomal RNA". It matches the Rfam family "Bacterial small subunit ribosomal RNA", at positions 524 to 776 of the family's 1533-position model. The record is from RNAcentral.
GACGGGGGGUGCAAGCGUUAUCCGGAAUCACUGGGCUUAAAGGGUCCGUAGGCGGCGAGGUAAGUCAGUGGUGAAAAACUCUCGCUUAACCAGAGGAAUGCCUGUGAAACUGCAUAGCUAGAGAGUAGGAGAGGUAGAAGGAAUGCCAUGUGUAGCGGUGAAAUGCAUAGAUACAGCGUAGAACACCGAUUGCGAAAGCGGCCUGCUAAACUGACUUUGACGCUGAGAGACGAAAGCGAGGGUAGCGAAUGGG